UUUUCUUUAAAUUUUUUGAAUAUUCAAAUAUCAAAUCUUAAAUUUUCGAGAACAUUUCCCAAUUAGAAAGAAAGAAAGAAAGCGAUUGCACUAAUUAUUUAUUUCAAGAAUGUCCAGGAAAUAAGCCGCCAAAAGACCUACAUUUCUAGAAUUUUCCUGGUACAUCUUGCAAAUCGGUCGAAAUCCUACUUUUGAAAAAGAUGUAGUCAACUGUAAAGUAUUGGUAUAACAAAACUUCAUAACGGACGCAAUUACAUUCAGCUUUUCAUUGGAAUCCAUGAGAAGAUAACAAUUUGAGGCGGUGCAAUGCUGAUAAAAAUGUCGCCAGCUGCAGAGUACAAGAAAUGUAAACAAUAUGUUUGGUGGCAAAUCGUAAAUUCUGAAAAUCGUAACGCAAAAAAAGAAAACAUAUUCAUAUUUUUGAGAUAUCAUGGGUUCUAAAUAGUUAAGACAACAUAUGAAAAUGUUUAAUAUCGAUACGUUAACGGCAUUCCGAUUUAUGGCAUUCAGUUCAGUACAGAAAUAUUAUAACUCAAAAUGCUGAUGAGGAUGCUUUUUAUGGGAGAUUACCGAAACCUAAUCUUAUGUACAUUACCCGUAUUCAAUACUUAAUUUCGAUAUUAAUAAAUUUAUUACCCAAACAAAACAGCAUAAUAAAUUUGGUGGCCCAAUCUAAUGCCAAAAUAGUUUAACCUCCCUCAUGGGUACUUAUCCGCAUA
Long non-coding RNA from Musca domestica (house fly), 719 nucleotides. RefSeq lists it as uncharacterized. The record is from RefSeq and is a predicted model, not a curated record. The transcript has 2 exons. NCBI's taxonomy places the organism in Eukaryota, Metazoa, Arthropoda, Insecta, Diptera, Muscidae.